UAGGGAAUCUUCGGCAAUGGACGAAAGUCUGACCGAGCAACGCCGCGUGAGUGAAGAAGGUUUUCGGAUCGUAAAACUCUGUUGUUAGAGAAGAACAAGGACGUUAGUAACUGAACGUCCCCUGACGGUAUCUAACCAGAAAGCCACGGCUAACUACGUGCCAGCAGCCGCGGUAAUACGUAGGUGGCAAGCGUUGUCCGGAUUUAUUGGGCGUAAAGCGAGCGCAGGCGGUUUCUUAAGUCUGAUGUGAAAGCCCCCGGCUCAACCGGGGAGGGUCAUUGGAAACUGGGAGACUGGACUGCAGAAGAGGAGAGUGGAAUUCCAUGUGUAGCGGUGAAAUGCGUAGAUAUAUGGAGGAACACCAGUGGCGAAGGCGGCUCUCUGGUCUGUAACUGACGCUGAGGCUCGAAAGCGUGGGGAGCAAACAGG
Molecule: ribosomal RNA, 429 nt
Filed under: Gemmatimonadota bacterium
Lineage: Bacteria; Pseudomonadati; Gemmatimonadota
Description: Gemmatimonadetes bacterium partial 16S ribosomal RNA
Rfam family: Bacterial small subunit ribosomal RNA
Source: RNAcentral